CAGGAAGACACUUGCCUAUUAGCAUUCGCCUGCUGCUUUGCUGUGCUACACAUGGUACAGGCUGGGAAUACGUGCUCUGGGAUGGUCAGUACAUUUUUGGUCUUAGGAGAGCUAGUUUUUCAGUGCCAACUCAGUUUCUUUGGAGCUGAGGGAAUUUGCUUUGAAAGUUGAGAGAAAAACAUGCUUCACAGUUUUCACAGUUAAACUCACCAGAAAUUACUUCAUUUGUGGCUGUUUUUGGCUUUCAUGCCCCAGCUAUUUUGACAUUUCACAUAAGUUAAGUGACAGAGAAUUAGUCGGCAUGCAUACUUAAAUGCCUGUAUGUUUGUGGCCAUUUCACAUUCAGGCAAAGGGUCUAGCUUUCCCUCAUGGGAAUUUCCUCCUCCUAAAAUAUAUGCAUCAUUUACAAAGUUACUUCUGCACAGGAGAAGCCUCUAGUCAGAUGUAGUUUGCAUACUUUCCAGAUCCUUUUUACUGCCAUAGAAAGAAAGAUAAAUACAACAAAAGCCUUGAGUAGCAAAGUGGCUAAUCUUUAGGCCGGGGUCAGGUAUUUACUGGAGAAGCAGCUGUGCCAGUUUAAGAGGUGAUUGACAUCCAGCUGUUUGACAUCACUCCCCAGCGGCUGUACAGUCAGCCCUGUUGCAUAAUAGACAAGACUGUAUAAAAAAAUUCCUCGUUCUUUGCAGGGCAAAGUCAGCUGGGUAAGCUCAGAUAACUUCUGCUUACUAACCCUGCUGCCUUUGCACUGGAGCAGAUGAGGAGUGCCCAGGUGAUUUAUCCCAACAUCGGAGCUGUACCAGGAAGUGGGUAAUUUCCAGUUUGUGCAUGGGCAUGGACGUUUUCAAAUGCCACAAAACCAUCUCUGCAACGCCCACGUGACCAUGGCUCAGAAUAUACUCACUGUUUCAGAGGCUGUCAGUAACCGUCCUCUUCCAGACCCGGCUGUGCAGGCGAGGAUGGCAGGCAUCUGGCAUGGCUAUUCCCAGACGCUCAUGGCUCUUCCUGCAGCUCCAUGGGUCGGGAUGGUGCUACUACAGACAAAGCGUGCUGAGUUGUGCAGGAGGCGACUCUUGGCUAUGGUGAAAAUGCAAAACUGGAGGCAGAGGCAGCAAGACUUUCAACAGUCUGAGGUGUUUGCAAAGUGGAUAAUUGUGCAUGACCAGACAUCACUUUGGGCCGAGAUGCCCAGAGUUCCCUGAGAAAAGAUCAGCGUCCUUUCGUGAACUUGCCUUCAAGCCAACUGCCAUUAAGAAGACUCUUAAUUAACUUACCAGAGUUUGAAUUCACCUUAGCUAAAGACAUUCAAGAAGUCUCUUCCUCAAAAUUUCCAAUUUUAUUUUAAAUCAAAUGGGCAUCUUAGCAGAACAGGAAUUUAAUAAAUUUGCAUUAAUGAAAAACA
Molecule: long non-coding RNA, 1399 nt
Filed under: Apteryx owenii (little spotted kiwi)
Lineage: Eukaryota; Metazoa; Chordata; Aves; Apterygiformes; Apterygidae
Description: lncRNA (ENSAOWG00000017490.1)
Source: RNAcentral